RNAcentral lists this non-coding RNA (120 nucleotides) under human gut metagenome. RNAcentral's name for it is "FMN riboswitch (RFN element)". It matches the Rfam family "FMN riboswitch aptamer (RFN element)". Rfam says of the family: The RFN element is a highly conserved domain that is found frequently in the 5'-untranslated regions of prokaryotic mRNAs that encode for flavin mononucleotide (FMN) biosynthesis and transport proteins. The record is from RNAcentral. RNAcentral also lists the same sequence under 1 other name.
UUCUUCGGGGUUGGGUGCAAUUCCCUACCGGCGGUAAUGCGCAAGCUAGUCCGCGACCCAUGUAAAUGGCUGAUUUGGUGCGAUUCCAAAACCGACAGUAUAGUCUGGAUGAGAGAAGAA